Molecule: ribosomal RNA, 351 nt
Filed under: uncultured bacterium
Lineage: Bacteria
Description: bacterial SSU rRNA
Rfam family: Bacterial small subunit ribosomal RNA
Source: RNAcentral
AGAGUUUGAUCAUGGCUCAGGAUGAACGCUAGCUACAGGCUUAACACAUGCAAGUCGAGGGGAAACGACAUCGAAAGCUUGCUUUUGAUGGGCGUCGACCGGCGCACGGGUGAGUAGCGCGUAUCCAACCUGCCCAUCACUUGGGGAUAACCUUGCGAAAGUAAGACUAAUACCCAAUGAUAUCUCUAGAAGACAUCUGAAAGAGAUUAAAGAUUUAUCGGUGAUGGAUGGGGAUGCGUCUGAUUAGCUUGUUGGCGGGGUAACGGCCACCAAGGCUACGAUCAGUAGGGUUCUGAGAGGAAGGUCCCCCANAUUGGAACUGAGACACGGUCCAAACUCCUACGGGAGGCA